This 445-nucleotide ribosomal RNA is filed under the name uncultured bacterium. RNAcentral's name for it is "bacterial SSU rRNA". It matches the Rfam family "Bacterial small subunit ribosomal RNA", at positions 895 to 1336 of the family's 1533-position model. The record is from RNAcentral.
CGAAACUCAAAGGAAUUGCCGGGGACCCGCACAAGCAUUGGAGCAUGUGGUUUAAUUGGAAGCAACGGGAAGACCCUUACCAGGUCUUGACAUCCCUCUGAAUACACCAGAGAUGGUGUAGGCCCUUCGGGGACAGAGGAGACAGGUGGUGCAUGGUUGUCGUCAGCUCGUGUCGUGAGAUGUUGGGUUAAGUCCCGCAACGAGCGCAACCCUUAGGUCUAGUUGCCAGCACUUCGGGUGGGCACUCUAGAGCGACUGCCGGUGACAAACCGGAGGAAGGCGGGGAUGACGUCAAAUCAUCAUGCCCCUUAUGACCUGGGCUACACACGUGCUACAAUGGUCGGUACAAAGGGCUGCAACCCCGCGAGGGUGAGCCAAUCCCAAAAAACCGAUCGUAGUCCGGAUUGCAUGUCUGCAACUCGGGGUGCAUGAAGUCGGAAUCGUC